This is a long non-coding RNA of Meriones unguiculatus (Mongolian gerbil), 5375 nucleotides long. RefSeq lists it as uncharacterized. Lineage: Eukaryota; Metazoa; Chordata; Mammalia; Rodentia; Muridae. The record is from RefSeq and is a predicted model, not a curated record. The transcript has 3 exons.
GGCCUCCUUCCUCUUCAGCACGCUACGAUCCGGCUGGGUCUCACUGAGGAGGCUCUCACAUAGAUCCUGCUACCGUGGAUAACAGCAGUGACGGCCAGCGUGCUGCCAGACGCCGGCAGGGUACCGCAUGCCCUCCGAUGUGCAUAGAACAUGGCACGUGUUCUGUGGGUCUCCACUGUGCAGCUGAGGUCAGCCCUGCACCUGAGAUGGUGGAGUUUUCUGUGGAUGGCUCUCCCGCUGCUGACCCCCUUCCUCUGACCUUUCCCUUCACCUUCUGCUGAGAUAUCAGCUUCUUCCUAUAUGACUUCUAACUUCCCGGAAGAUGCCCACUGCCUGGGGACCAGUCCUUCCUUCCAUACACUUCCACUCUGUACGGAGAUGAACAGACUGCGUGCCCAGGUAGCAUGUACGCAUUUACAUUUAUACGCAUAUAUCCACAGACCUGUAAUACCGGGUGUAUCACAUUCAUAUACCACAUACGUCACCAGUGUUUUUCCCUGUGUCUCUUGGAGAAAGGGGUACAAUGCAAAGGAAAAUCCUGCUGCCUCAUAGUAGGAGCAGCAUCGAGCCACACAGGUGACUGUGCAGGCCCAGGCAAGUGAACCCCUAUUCAAACUACCCGUGUGCUGUGGCUGCUCCUUUGUUCGCUUUUCUUUAUGACAGAGUCUGGCAACGUGGCACCGGUCGGCCUGUAACUUGCUAUGUGGACUUUCAGCAGUCCUUCCACCUGCUUCCUGAGUGUGAGGUUACAGCUGUCGCGGCCACACCCAGCCCAUUCUUCCCGUUCUGUCAAGUGGGCCAAGCACCGAGAUGUUUCCCAGCACUGUGCUUCUUACACUGGCUGGAACCAUCCCAGCACCGUCGAGGACCUUUAAAAACAUCAAGUCUGGACCUAGCUAGACACAUGGAUGAAAUGGCUCCAUCUGGAACACAACUGAGCAUGUGGAAGCUUUAGAAGUCCCAGGUGGUUGAUUAUACUCUGUGGCCAAGAUUGAAAUACCCCGCGAGAGAAAUUGUCUCUGCUUGGGUAUGGGAGGCAGGGACACUAAAAGACUCACCCACCAGGUGUACGAAAUUGGAACGACCACAUCUUUUAAAGACAAUUUUAAAACGCUUUCUACAUGUGUGCUUGCUCUUUGAGGAGCAGCGCUUCCUGCUCAGCCCUAAGCACAGCCGUAAGUACAAAUCCGCCACUGCGCCAGAGAGAAGCUGCUGAGAACCUCCUGCCUUGGAGGUUAGAAACUUUUAUGAGGUACUGAGUAAGUCAGAUGACUAUGGCUUUAAAACCUGGAGGAGAUGAAGAUCGAUUCACAAGGAAAGUUUUCUGCAGACUGGGACCACAGUGUGUGUCACUUGAUUUAGAUGCUUAGAAGCCCUUACUUGUGACUAGGGAAGGUCUCUUGAAUGAAGUGGCUUUUGAGUUAAACAUGGAAGAAGUGUCAUCUUGUGACUAAGAAUUAGGUAAAACACGGUCUUCCUAGAGCAGCAGCAAAGAACUGCUGAAGAGCCAAGGUUACUCAGAGACCAGCACGUCUCUUCUCCUGGGGUGAGAAGUGUAGAAUCACCCUGUGGACCAGAGGCUGGAGAAGGAGGUGUGGUGUGGAGUGCAGGGGCGGUUAGUCAGUGCUCCAGAGCUGGGGCUUUAACCCCUCAGGCUCUAUUGACUAUAUCUGGGAGCCCGGAAGGUCUGUAGUGCUUCGAAGAAUCCAGGGCUAGAGAUAAAGAAAGCUGGAGAUGAAGAGGCUGAGAGCGGAGGGAGGAGAGAAGAGUGAGGCGAAGGUGUUAACAGGGAUGGUGAGAACAAGAACAUUUCUAGGCCAGUGGCAGAAGAAAAAGAGGACACUGGCUAUGCAGCUGACGAAUUUCAGUGGCGGAGAUUUCUCAUCAACUGGGCGUGUCUGGGUGGUGAAAUAGAGGGCUCAGAAAUAGAGGGCUCAAAGCUCACCUUGGGCUAAGGAAGCUGGCAGGCCUCAGGUGGGCACUUCAAGGCUGCUCCACUCUGCUCACUUCUUUGUUUCAGGCAGGCACAUGCACUUGUUAGCCAAACAGGCAUCUGUUUGGACACAUGAAUGUUGUCUGAGAAGGAUCCACAGGACAUGGAGCAGUCAGUGUUCCGUAGAGGUAGUUAGGGGUUUGGUUUAUGCCAUGUUAAACUGGAGUCCAACUGGGCCUCAGGAGGCUGGAACUGAGGGUGUGAAAAGCAAGAUGGCGUCCAAGGGAACUAUGUAAUGACUGGUCUCAAGAGGUGAAAUAUCUAACUGAAGAUUCAGGCUGUGCACACAAAGAGCAGCUCAAGACAAAAUGAGCACAGGGCAGGUGCCAGAGUGGUUGAGGGUCUGUGCAGAGGGACUGACAGGAGGAAUAUUUUUGACGUAUGCACACCAUCCUGGACUGUGCAAUGGAAUAGCCUGAAACUGGGUUUGCAGGAAUGAAUGCCUAGGUGUGAGGAAGAGAGAAUGUGGGAGGAAGUGAAAGUUAGAGGAAGACAAGAAACCAAGGAAGGUGGGCAGGGACAUGUCUUUUUGGGAUUCUGUCCAUUCAGGGGACAGAGCGUACACUGGCCUACGAGCAUGUCAUCAAUGUAAAAUCUAUCUCUGCCUCAGGCAUCCUGAGACCACAUUUCACCAAGAUGCCUUGUUGGGAGGAGGGAGAGGGGUUAGAAAUUUUCCAAAGCUGGAGAAGGCUGGCCCAGGUCACCUGAGCUGCACUGUGAGAUCUGUAUGUAAGAACACUAUUUAGAGAGCAGUGAAGGUCAGGGGCACCCAGGACUCUUUGGUGCAGAGAAGAAAAGUGAGUCCCAAGACACUUAGAGAAAGCCUUUCAGACAAAGGAUGAGGCAGGAAUAGGAAUUUGGAACCUUCUAGUUGUAGGGCAUGCGUGAUGACAGGGCUGCACUCUUGCUGGAGGAAUGCCUGGUCUUGCAUGAUGGCUGGACACAAUCAGGCAGCCUAGCGAGUAACGGGAGACGGGCAGCGUACCUCAUUGUCGCUGCUGUACCAGUAACUUCUCACAGCUGAAACCAACUAAUGUGCCUCUUCAGGUUUUCCCCAAACUGCUCUCUAUUUUCUUGCUACGUGAGGAAGAGGUUUGAUCAAACUUUAUAAGGAAGUGGAAUGCUUGAGCAUAUAGUUUGGUUACAGGGUUUUGCUUCACUCUGUGUGUUGUGCUGGCUGUGUAGCCCCUGUCUAAAUAUCUUUGUUAAACAACAACAUUCUUUUCAGUCAUUUCUGAACACACACACAGUAAGAGAAACCAAAGAAAACCACAAGCACAAUCUUCCUGCCCAACUGUCUCAUUCACCUCCCUAAAUCACUCUUAAAUUUGUAUUGAAUUAUGCCAGGUCAACAUGUGCCCAUAGGACCCUUUUAACCACGAUGUUUAGACAGAUAGCUUCUGAAAUCGAGGAUUCUGGACGAAAACCUACUGUGAAGCAUGACAAGAUACGCUCUGCUGAUUGUGUGAUAUCUGAAGGUUGUGCUUGAAAAGGGGAGUUUUAUGUCCAUUGUUCCAUUUCAGUCUUUUCUGCAUGCACAUCUGGACAUGUUGGCCUUUAUCACUUACUUUUUAUUUCCAAUUAAAAGCAGCAGAACUCCCAGAGGCUGCCACACCCAUGAGAAGAAGGGAAGAGGGGCAGGUACUGUGCUCAACCCAGAGCUGAGAGCAAGGUUUGAGGUCUGUGCUGUGUCUCCGAAAUGCUCAAAUCUGACACCACCUCCAAGUUCUCCAGGCUUGUGCCCAAUGAACAGAAUGAAAUGCAAGCACAUGACCUCUUUGAAAGGAAAGAGGGAAAGGAAGCCUACUGCAUGUCUCUUGAUUCACUUUUGUCACUCUCGGGCCAUAGAUGAAGACACAUAGGAGACUUGGGACUCCGGGACAGAGCUCACAGUCCUUCCCUGCACGAUUAUAAAGUCUCUAACUAUUUUCAAGCUGUGCUGGCUUCCUUUGUGUUUCUAGUUAUUUAUUUUUACCGUUUACUUGCUUGGUGAGUGGAAGAGUGUCCUGGUAGGGGUCAGAGGUCAACCCGCAGUGCCUGGUUUUCUCCCUUCUACCAUGUGGGAUCCAGUGGUCUAACUCAGGUCAUUAAGCUUCAUAGCACUAAGCCAGUGGGCAGCUUUCUUUUGUGUUUUUAGCCAGAGUUUCUUUAUCCCUCCCUUGUACCCUUCAUCAUCCUCUCUACCCCUGCUUUUCUCCUACACCAAUGGCUGACACAUUUAUUGGGAUUUUUCUUGUUAUAAGUGAAGCUUCAGGACACUGUUCCACUUAAGUGGGACAUCAGAGAGCAGAGGUGAUAUGAUGAAGGAUUAGCCAGUGUGUUUGCUCCAACAGUUUUCACCUUGACAACAGCCCAUGGCGGGUUGAACUGUAUUCUCGAGAGAGACACGGGGAAGCCCUAGUCCUUGGGACGGCACCAUGUGCCUUUAUCUGGAGACAAGGUCUUUUGCAGAUGUAAUUAUUCCCAAAGGGGGCCUAUUCCAGGAGGGUAGGCUCAUAAUACAGCUUGACCUUUGGUUUUAGAAGAAAACAAGAUAGCUAGAGAAGUAGCUUAGCGGUAGGGUGGUUUCCUAGCCAGGCCUUUCGUUCAACCUGAAAUACCACAUUAAAAAACCAAGGGACAUAGUCCCGACACCCAGGGAGACAGGGAGAAACCUCUUGACAAUAGUAGCAACUAAUGUGCCACCAUGACUAGCGGAGGAGAGCCAAGGGUUGCCAAGGCGUGAGACACACUGUCCUCGCGUCUUCAGGGAAAGACGGGUUCCGAUGACAUGCUCAUUUCAAACUGCUGGCCUCCUGACCUGUGAGUUAGCUUCUUGGUUGGCACAGCUUCCUUAAAACAUCCCUGGGAAACUAAAGAAGCUUUCUGUAAAACAACAGACAGCACCAACAAACGGCACUGCGUCCUCUGCAGGGAGGAGCCAGCCUCGUAUGGAAAUGUUGCCAAGACAACUGGACAGCUCUUGCAGCAACAGCUCGCGGUCUCCAGGGACCCUGUCUGUGUGAGCCGCCAGGGGACUUGGACGCACAUGGUUCUCAUUAAGCACGUAGAUGGCACUGUCCCUUCUCGUGAAGGACAGUCACUUUGCAGGGGCGCGUGCUCCCACAGUGCAGAGCUGAGGAGCCCUGAAUAACAGUGGGCGAACAGGAUCUUCUCUGUAUGCACCAGUGACGUUCUGAUCGAUGCACCAGAGCAGCCAGGCUGUCGUGAGAAAGGCAGCUCCGGCUAACAGCCUUUGGGACCAGGAGUGCCAUCAAGCCUAGAGGAGAACCACAGGGUGCCGUCCCCAUCACCAGACUGCAAGGAAGCGCUGCUGCUGCAGUUCUGACGUGUCAAGGCUCAUUUGCAAGCUCCUCGGGUUUCGGCAGAGUCUGCUGGUAAA